Long non-coding RNA from Acanthopagrus latus (yellowfin seabream), 548 nucleotides. RefSeq lists it as uncharacterized. NCBI's taxonomy places the organism in Eukaryota, Metazoa, Chordata, Actinopteri, Spariformes, Sparidae. The record is from RefSeq and is a predicted model, not a curated record. The transcript has 4 exons.
GGCAGCCGUGGAAGCUGGUGCCGUUGCGUCCUCCUGAGCUGUGCUGCAGGGAUGAGAGACCCCCGGAGGCCGAGGCCCGUUCUGGCAUACCUGGAGGAAGAAAAGCAUGAUUAGAGGGCAUCAGUACUGCAGAGAGAGCAGGAAUCAUGCCAGACAGUGAUGAAAGAAUGCAUUAGUUCCCCAGAAGCUUUCCAUGACACAAAUGGCUGCACUUCGGGAAAACGGAACAAGGUAAAGCGGAGAAUCUAUGUUGAGUGUGGACUGUUUGCUGAUGGAGUUGAUGGAUUUUGGCGGCCCGCCGUCGAUGGACAGAGACAAAGUCUGGUCUGCUGCCACCAGCUCCACAGCGUGGAAGCUGCCAUCGUUCACUGUCUCCACGCUGAGAGAGAGAGAAAACAGAGAGAGUCAGUCGAGGCAUUUCCGUCAUCCAUCAUGUGAACGAGGCUGAUGUUGGUCUCCGGUGCGAGGAGACUGGAGGGAAGCUGCAGGUAGGACUCACGGUUGACGAAGUUGACGCUGACGAGCGUCUCGCAGCUCUCGCCCUCGUA